RNAcentral lists this ribosomal RNA (254 nucleotides) under uncultured bacterium. Its description in RNAcentral is "partial 16S ribosomal RNA". It matches the Rfam family "Bacterial small subunit ribosomal RNA", at positions 524 to 777 of the family's 1533-position model. The record is from RNAcentral.
UACGGGGGGUGCGAGCGUUGUCCGGAAUCACUGGGCGUAAAGGGCGCGUAGGUGGUUUGAUAAGGGUGUGGUGAAAGUCCGGGGCUCAACCCCGGAUCUGCCGUGCCGACUGUCAAACUCGAGGACUGUAGAGGCAGACGGAAUUCCGGGUGUAGCGGUGGAAUGCGUAGAGAUCCGGAGGAAGACCGGUGGCGAAGGAGGUCUGCUGGGCAGUUUCUGACACUGAGGCGCGACAGCGUGGGGAGCAAACAGGG